Molecule: ribosomal RNA, 204 nt
Filed under: uncultured Gelria sp.
Lineage: Bacteria; Bacillati; Bacillota; Clostridia; Thermoanaerobacterales; Thermoanaerobacteraceae
Description: partial 16S ribosomal RNA
Rfam family: Bacterial small subunit ribosomal RNA
Source: RNAcentral
AUGACGUCAAGUCCUCAUGGCCUUUAUGCCCAGGGCUACACACGUGCUACAAUGGGUGGUACAAAGAGAUGCAAUCUCGCAAGAGCAAGCAAACCUCAAAAAGCCAUCCUCAGUUCGGAUUGGAGUCUGCAACGCGACUCCAUGAAGUCGGAAUCGCUAGUAAUCGCGGAUCAGCACGCCGCGGUGAAUACGUUCCCGGGCCUU